RNAcentral lists this ribosomal RNA (253 nucleotides) under uncultured bacterium. RNAcentral's name for it is "partial 16S ribosomal RNA". It matches the Rfam family "Bacterial small subunit ribosomal RNA", at positions 524 to 776 of the family's 1533-position model. The record is from RNAcentral.
UACGGGGGGUGCGAGCGUUGUCCGGAAUCACUGGGCGUAAAGGGCGCGUAGGUGGCUUUGUAAGUUUGCGGUGAAAGCCCGGGGCUCAACCCCGGGUCUGCCGUGGAUACUGCAAGGCUUGAGUACUGUAGAGGCAGGUAGAGUAUCGGGUGUAGCGGUGGAAUGCGUAGAGAUCCGAUAGAAGACCGGUGGCGAAGGCGGCCUGCUGGGCAGUAACUGACACUGAGGCGCGACAGCGUGGGGAGCAAACAGG